This 269-nucleotide long non-coding RNA is filed under the name Lathyrus oleraceus (garden pea). Its description in RNAcentral is "Pisum sativum (pea) long non-coding RNA (PSAT_LNC001356)". The record is from RNAcentral. Lineage: Eukaryota; Viridiplantae; Streptophyta; Magnoliopsida; Fabales; Fabaceae.
AAUUACAUACAUAUUCGGACCAAGUAAAAGUUGUUACAUUUACAAAUCAAAAACCCUAAAAAAACUCAAAUAACAAUCAGACUAAUUCUUUCCUAAAAUACAAUCAGAAUUAAAUUGCAAAAGCCAAAUUCUAACCUAUAAGUACCUAAGUCUAAAAUCAUAAUAGAAAGAAAAAAGAAUCUGAAAAACCUAAGAUGCUUCUACGAUCCCUACCAAACACCAAAGCUCCAUGAAUCAGAUACUUAGGGUUUUCAUACUGAAACCCUAAG